GCCGGUGUAGCUCAGUUGGUAGAGCAACUGAUUCGUAAUCAGUAGGUCCCCAGUUCGAGUCUGGGCACCGGCACCA
This 76-nucleotide transfer RNA is filed under the name Pseudomonadota bacterium. RNAcentral's name for it is "Proteobacteria bacterium tRNA-Thr". It matches the Rfam family "tRNA". Rfam says of the family: Transfer RNA (tRNA) molecules are approximately 80 nucleotides in length. Their secondary structure includes four short double-helical elements and three loops (D, anti-codon, and T loops). Further hydrogen bonds mediate the characteristic L-shaped molecular structure. tRNAs have two regions of fundamental functional importance: the anti-codon, which is responsible for specific mRNA codon recognition, and the 3' end, to which the tRNAs corresponding amino acid is attached (by aminoacyl-tRNA synthetases). tRNAs cope with the degeneracy of the genetic code in two manners: having more than one tRNA (with a specific anti-codon) for a particular amino acid; and 'wobble' base-pairing, i.e. permitting non-standard base-pairing at the 3rd anti-codon position. The record is from RNAcentral. Lineage: Bacteria; Pseudomonadati; Pseudomonadota.